Solanum lycopersicum (tomato) is the source of this 802-nucleotide long non-coding RNA. RefSeq lists it as uncharacterized. NCBI's taxonomy places the organism in Eukaryota, Viridiplantae, Streptophyta, Magnoliopsida, Solanales, Solanaceae. The record is from RefSeq and is a predicted model, not a curated record.
AAACUAUAUUGGGUAGGAACUCCACGCUCACAACCCAAAAGGCUUGAUUAGCUUGUACUUCUAAUGUCUCCUAUCUUUGAUGUAGUAAGUAUGGACCCAUACAGUCCGUAACUUAUCCUAUCUCUUAGCCAAAUCCCACAGAUAGUUGAGUAUUACUUCUUUGUUCCACACAUACACAUCUGUAAUAUCCAGGCCUCCAACAACUUUUGGUUAACAAAUUGUAUCCCAUGCUACAAGAGCUUUCCCUUUAGUUUGUGUAUCACCAUUCCAUAGGAAUCUCUUGCAUAUCGCUUCUACCUACUGCAACACUUUUUGGGGAGUAAGAAUAUUUGCGCCCAGAAUGCUUGAAUGGAAGUUAGCAAAGUUUGUGCCAGAUAAAGCCUCUCUGCAUAAGAUAGAAAUUUCGUAGUCCAUGUGUUUUUUCUUCCUAGCGUCCUGUCUAGAAGUGGUUGACAUUGGCUUAUUGACAAUUUUUGGAGCUUAGAGGGACUCCAAGAUAUCUAAAUGGAACUCUAAACAUGUGAAAUAAUGUCACAAUUUGUGGUGAAAGUUGUGAGAUUCCCUUCUGCAGUCACGAGAAUAGACAAGAAUUCAAUUACUGAAGCAUCGGAGCUCGAUGUGUUAGUUCUAUACUUAUUUGUAGUAAGAAUUAUAAUAAGACUUUUUUGUCUCUCUUCAUAUAGCUGAAUUCUUAUUUUAUUAGCAAAUUGCUCUAAAUUCAUAUUUGUAUUUUGUAUGCUCAAAUGUUCAGUUUCACUAUGGAGACAAAAAUAAAAUGAAAUGCCUAAUUAUCUUGCUCAUU